RNAcentral lists this ribosomal RNA (564 nucleotides) under uncultured Acidobacteriota bacterium. RNAcentral describes it as "bacterial SSU rRNA". It matches the Rfam family "Bacterial small subunit ribosomal RNA", at positions 936 to 1505 of the family's 1533-position model. The record is from RNAcentral. Lineage: Bacteria; Pseudomonadati; Acidobacteriota.
AGCAUGUGGUCAAUUGAUGCAACGCGAGAUCCUCCCUGGUUUGACGAGUGGGGACAGGCGAUGAAAGUCGGCCUUCUGCAAAGGACCGGUACUUAGGUGCUGCAUGGCUGUCGUCAGCUUGUGUCGUGAGAUGAUGGGUUUAGUCCCGCAACGAGCGCAACCCCUGUCCGCAGUUACCAUCAUUCAGUUGGGGACUUUGCGGAGACCUCCGGUGACAAACCGGAGGAAGGUGUGGAUGACGUCAAGUCCUCAUGGCCUGUAUGUCCAGGGCUACACACGUGCUACAAUGGCCGGUACAGACCGUCGCAAGCUUGCGAGAGCAAGCCAAUCGGACAAAACCGGUCUCAGUUCGGAUUGAAGGCUGCAACUCGCCUUCAUGAAGCUGGAAUCGCUAGUAAUCGCGGAUCAGCAUGCCGCGGUGAAUACGUUCCCGGGCCUUGUACACACCGCCCGUCACAUCACGAAAGUUGGCUGUACCAGAAAUCGGUGGGCCAACCCGCAAGGGAGGCAGCCGCUUAAGGUAUGGUCGGUGAUUGGGGUGAAGUCGUAACAAGGUAGCCGUAA